GGGGGUGUAUUGGUUUCGACUGGCGGGUUUCAGGCCACCAGCUGCAGGUCAAGCGCCAACUUGUUAAACUAGCAAAACCUAUAACUGCCAAGAAAGAAGACGAGAUCGUCCUCGACGAAGCAGAAUUCGCUCUCGCUGCUUAAUCGUAGCCAGAACGGACAAGGUUCAGGAUGCCGUGCCCAUGGCCCUGUUCCCUGUAAACAACUUGGGCUUGUCUAUUGCUGACGGAUGUAAGCGGUAGAGACCUCCCACACCCUGGGUUCCCCGAAGGACUGACCAGCUGCCGAAGGGAACCGAGAUACAAUCAGCCGGAUCUAAGCCUGUAGACGCUGAUGGAUGGUUCGUUAGGACGGGGGUUCGACUCCCCCCACCUCCAU
Molecule: transfer-messenger RNA, 377 nt
Filed under: bovine gut metagenome
Rfam family: transfer-messenger RNA
About the family: Bacterial tmRNA, also known as 10Sa RNA or SsrA, is named for its dual tRNA and mRNA-like properties. Its role is to liberate the mRNA from a stalled ribosome.
Source: RNAcentral